Molecule: long non-coding RNA, 194 nt
Organism: Rhinichthys klamathensis goyatoka
Lineage: Eukaryota; Metazoa; Chordata; Actinopteri; Cypriniformes; Leuciscidae
Exons: 2
Source: RefSeq, a predicted model, not a curated record
UCGUAAGUUAUUUUGGGAAAAAACGACAUGUAUCCAAAUUCAGGGUUAUUUUGGCUAGAAGUUUGUGUGAUCUGUGUACCGGUCCUCCAGAGAAGCUGCGAGCGGACCUGAGCUCCUCCGCCGGCCCUCGACACGCAAACGAGGCUGGAAACAUGUGACCGGUUUUAACGUUCACACCUGCGAUCACACAGAAA